CCAAUAUUCUAAAUGUCAUAUCUAAGCCUUGUUUGAGUCUAGGAAGGGUUUAAGGGCUUAAAACCCUUUUAACUUAGUGUUUACGGCCUAAGCACCUUCCUGGACUGUAAACUCAUUCAAAUCCCUCAAAUCCAUGUCUAAAGUGUUCAAAGUCCAAUCCAUGAAGUCAUUUAGCCAUAUCUAAAAUCUAGUUGUGGUUUGGAAGGGUUUUGUUGCUCAAAAACCCCUUUUAAAUGAGUUUACGGUCUAGGAUAGUUCUAGGGCUGUAAACCCAUGAUAAUGGUCCUAAUCCAUGGUUUAAACUCGAAUUUGAAGGCUAGAGGGGUUGUAUAGCAAGUUAGGGAAGUUACCUCAAAGAUUUGAAGCCUUAAAUUGAUGAUUUGGACCCUUAAACUUGGAUUUAGGAGAGAGGUUAGAGAGAGAUGGUUGUGAAAUGAAGCAAAAGCUUCAAAUGAAAGCUUGGAUAACUUUAAAUAGUAUCCAAGUUCGGGACAUGGUGGAAUUUUGCCCGAUACCGGCACUAAACGGGGCUUUUGGUCGCACCCGAUUAAGUUUCCGUAACUCGGCGGGGACGUUUCUAAAAUUUUUGGAAUAAGCAUUUUGGGCUAAUUUCGUGAGUUCCUAACAGGUUUGGACACUCAUUAGCAUCAAUUAAACAUAUAAGUUUAAUUAAUUUAACCCAAAAACGACAUCGGAACGAAUUGAUAUACGGCGAGUUAUACAGGUAGAAUGGGUUUUUCGGCGAUGAACAACUUCGGGUUGUUACAUUAUCCCCCCGUUAGAGGGAAUUUCGUCCCGAAAUUCAAUGAUUACGAUACAAGUCAUGAAUUUGAAUGAGAUACGGAUGGAUUUGCUGCUUCGGGUUUUCGCGCUCCCAAGUGACAUCGGGUCUCCGCUUGACGUCUCAGCGAACCCUCACUAUCGGGACGCGUCUUGAUUUCGUUAGGUAGAUACUUCUCAAAGACCGAGACGUGAAGUAUCAGAUGGGUGCUACUAAGUUCCGAGGGCAAUCGAAGUUUGAAGGUUACGGAAUCGAUUUCACAAGGGUCGCGAAGGGUCUAAUGUACCAUGAGGGAAGUAUUUCGCUUUUCCAAAGCAUUCCAUGUUUUCCCUAGGAUAAGGCUUCCAACAGAAAACAAACUCCAACAAGAAGGUACAUCUUCAUGUGGCAGAGUAACUAAGGGUUUGAUGAUCCUGAAAGAGAAUUCUGGGACCUGUGGGUUAUGGGCCCACGGGUAUGGCUGCUUUGUUUACUACAAGAUCAAGGAAAAUGAUUUGACUGAAGGGUACCACUACGAACUCGUGGUGAUCACAUCAGGUCCUGGUCGCUGUAUUGGAUACAUCAUCUCCCGGAGGUUCAGCUACGAGGUAGCUCCAGGAACUAGAUUAGUACGAGACUCGACUAGACGUUCGGAAAAGAAUUCUCGAGGAUUCUUGGAAAGGCAUCAGGGAAAAAGUUACAGACUUCCCGUUUCCCGAAUAUCACACGGACGGGGAAUGGAUGGAAAAACUUUCUAAGCUUUGAUGCACGAAGAAUAUGAGAGUUGGGUCAAAGGAAAGAUACGAACAGACGACCCUUUCGAAGACAAGACUAACCGCAUGAAUGAGACUAAGUCAUUCCAUGCCGAGUUUGCAUCAAAGCUUUCCAUGAAAGGUUUACCUUUAGAUCAAAGGAAAAAGGAUAACCAUCUGAAUUGAGGAUACGAUCUAAGGGUAUGACGUUAACAUUCUCUUUGUCACUGGUUGGUCAUCUCGACGGUACACGUUUCAAUUACUAACGAAGGAUUUAGUUUAGAAAGUUAUUUGAAUGAAUGGUUAGCAAAUUCUUUCAGCAUUAGAAUCAAAAAGGAUCACAGGCACAAGAUUUAUCGAAAAGAAGUAUACCUGUGGAAACGGUGGGAUCGGCGGCUGUCCUUUCUUGCCCCAUAGUUAGGACUUUCCCGGUGUUGCCAGACGUUACUGUCUUUGGACAGUUUCGCUUAUAGUGUCCGGCCUCUCCACAGCUGUAGCAGGUUUGACCGAUACCUGCUCCGGAAGCUUGACUAGUUGACGGGGUUGGGGUUUUGCAGGUUCGUGCGAGGUGACCUUCCUGGCCACAACUUCUAUAGUACUUUGCACGACAAGGGCCAGGGAUGCAAUGGUGGUAGCUACAUCGGUCACACCACGGGAGGGUACCGACAUAUCCGGUAACUAGUACUUGAGAUAUGGAAUUGACAACAGAAACAACAGCAGGGGUAGUUGCAGCGUGGACUGCCACUAUUUGUUGUUUCUUUGAGGGUUCUGGGGAAGACUGACUCUUCUUCUUCUUUCUCCAAAACUUUCUUUUCUCACCACUCUUUUCUGUUGGCUCGGGAGUGGUGUCUGCUUCCUCUUGAUCAUCAUUGUGAUUGAUCAAAGUUUGAGCCAGACACUUGGUGCUGUCAUAGGUAUCUGGCUUUGUUGCUAUAACGUUCCCUUUGGUUGGCUGAGUUAAUCCCCAGAUGAACCUUUCUACCUUUUUGCUUUCCGGGGUAACCAUUCCCGGACAAAGAAGUGCCAAGUCAUCAAACCUUGAAGUGUAAGAGGCGAUAUCGGAACCUUUCAUCUUCAGGUUCCAUAGCUCAUGUUCCAGCUUCUGGAUUUCACCCCGAGGGCAAUACUCCGCACGUAGUAGUUCCUUCAUAACUUCCCAUCCCAUAGCAUUGGCUAUAGGUAAAGUCAGGGAUUUGACUCGGCCGUUCCACCAAGUCAAAGCCUUAUCGGUGAGUGUACAGGCGGCAAAUUUCACCUUUUCGGAUUCCGAACAGCCACAAAUCUCGAAGAUAGAUUCUAUUUUCUCUAACCAUCGAGUUAGAGCAAUGACACCCCCUGUGCCAUCGAAGAAUGUGAGUUUUGCAUUCAUGAAGUCUUUAUAGGAACACUCCUUCCGGUGUCCCUGAUUACCUUCUUGGUUUUGGUUUUGGGAACCACCUCCUGAACCAUUGGGGUUUAGUUGAGGUAGGAGAGCUGAUAUGGUGGCAGAAAUGGUUACCUGAAGUGUUUCUAGAUCGAUUUGAAUAGGAGGUGGUCGCGGUGGAGGGUUGUUGGUGUUCUUUGAGCUGGGUCUUUUCCUCGGAGGCAUCUUGAUCUAAAAAGAUAAGGAAAGAGAGGAUCAUAAGUCCUCUGAAUUGAAUCAAGAGAUAUGGAUCAGGGGAUAUCUCAUCGAGACAGAUAUAACAUUAUAUUAAGCGAUAAAGCAAGAAAGAGUGAUCAAGGCAGAAAAUUUUAUCGCUAGAGGAAUGAUCAAGGAACAACACGUAUACGAGGAUUUCUACAAAGGAUCGGCUCGAGAAAUACUCCCAUAGUAUUUCAUGGUUCGCUGCAGCGACGACUCAUUGUUUGGGAUAUUAGGUAAGUUUUAGGUAUGCUGCAUACCACAGUCACUCCCACGCACAUGUUGGCCGUGUCUCGAAUGAAUAUAGUUGGCCAGGCUAUAUUGAUCCUAGACACGACUACAUAACUGCCCAGGUUUAAUCGCAGUGUACAAUACCCAUUUACUUAUAUUUUGUUCUACUUGUAGUUACGGAUUUCGAUGGUCGGUAUACUUGUAUACUUUAGAAAAUACUUAUAUUCGUAGAGUAUAUUUUUAGUUUAGAGAACUUAGGCCCCUUAAUGUUUAUAGUCUUAUACCAUGUAAGCUUUGGUAUACCAGUUCACAAUAAACAAGGGCUCUGAUACCAAUCUGUCACACCCCGAAAACCAUAGGCAGAAACAUUUCCGGGGUUGACUCCACAUUGAGUAUCAAAUCCAAUGCACAUAGUAAAGCAGUAAUCACAAAACAUUACAUUACAUAAUAUUGUUUACAUUUAUUUGAAAGUAAAGUUGUACAAGUGUUUUACAUAUUUAAUAUGAACAAAAGUAAAGACGAGUCUUCGGAAUGCUCCGUCUUCUUUAAAAGGUUGCGAUGUACCUGUCUAUCACUGACCUGAGAAUACAAGCGGUUUAAAAAUCAGCAUAAAACUGGUGAGUUCAUAAGCGGUUUAGUUUUGAAAAGAUUGAGUUUCCUUUGUUACAAUUUCGAAAACGGUUGGUUAUGUCAUUCCAGGAAAAUCCCAUAUUUUUCUUAUAGUUUUAGUUAUUCGUUUGUUACUUUAUCCGUUUAUGAGUUGAUGUGCUACCCAGGAAAAUCCCAUAUUUUCCUAUGUGUUGAGUUACCUAUUUGUAUCUAAGUUCGUUACUGGUUGUUAUGUUAUCCUAGGAAAAUCCCAUAUUUUCCUAUGUGUUGAGUUGCCUAUUUGUAUCUAAGUUCGUUACUGGUUGGUUCUUAGGUUUGAUUUUGAAGUACUAGUAAUUACCAUGUGUAUAGUAUUAGUUAAGUAUUCUAAACCCUUAGAUAUUCUACAUUUGAAUGACUAUUAUCUACUAACUUAGUUGUAUUUUCGAAUAUUUGGAAUCACACAGAAGCAUACAUUACAAUAUUUUUGAAGUUCUGUUGAGUUCCAAAAGAGUACAUUAGUUUUAUAAUUGAAGCUCUGUCGACAUUUUGAGGCGGAUAUAUUCGAAACUCAGUAGAGGUCCAAAGGCGUAUUUUCGUAUUUAAUUCAAAAUUCUGGUGACACUCAAGGGGAACACUAGUUGUAUGUUCGAAGUCUUGGUGUCAUCCAAAGGCAUUAAUUCACAUUCGUAUUCCUAUUUCUAUUCGUAUUCGUACUAUGCUAUUGGUUAGAUUCGUAUUCAUAUUCGUUCUAUCCUAUUAGUUAUAUUCGUAUUCGCAUUCGUAUUCGUACUAAUCUAAUAGUUAUAUUCUUAUUCGUUCUAUCCUAUUAGUUAUAUUUGUAUUCGUAUUCGUACUAACCUAAUAGUUAUAUUCGUAUUCGUUCUAUCCUAUUAGUUAUAUUUGUAUUCGUAUUCGUACUAACCUAAUAGUUAUAUUCGUAUUCGUUCUAUCCUAUUAGUUAUAUUCGUAUUCGCAUUCGUAUUCGUACUAACCUAAUAGUUAUAUUCGUAUUCGUUUAGUAUUAAUCUUAGUUAUGAUUAGUAUGAUUUCUUUUACAAAAAGUAAUAUUGAUCAAAACACUUUUUAAAGUAAUCUGGCUUUAGUCUAACUGUUUAACCUACGAUUCGAACCAUUAGUUAUCACAAUUUUCAUUAUUAAAAUCAUACAUGAAAUAAAACAUUUGAAAUGAAAAUACAUUUAAGUACAAGAUUUCUUGUACUUUUUCUUGUAUUCCCCCUGAAAACAUUGAAAACCAUUUGAAAAACACAUGAAAAAGGGUAGGGGUAUGAACUCACCGGACUCGGAAAUGCGACGAUUUUGGACACUAAACGUUGGUUCGGGGCCUGAUUACUCGCGAUGUCCCUAUGUAAAUGAAAUAAUGUCCAUAUAUAUCUAAUUAUAUUUACAAUCACUAAUUAUAUGGAACAUUAUACUCCAAUGAGAUUAAACACCUCAAAACGAGUGUUUGGAGUGACCCGGGUGACAUCUACGGACGUGUAAUGGUACUAGGCACUUGGGAUUUGAGUUUACUCCCCAAGAGUAAACAUUUUAGGGAGUUUACAACCAUAAAACACAUACAUACAUGAGUUCACGGCCGUGAACUCAUGUUGGUGUGAUUUUGAGUGUCUAAUGGCUUGAUUGGACUUGGGAAAUGUUGGAAUGGACUUCUAAAAUGCCUUGGAUUAAUUUAAGGGGACUUAUACCAUGUUUAAGGGAGUUCACGGCUGUAAACUUUUUAGUUUACGGCCGUAAACUCUCCUAUGGUUAAGAAUAAUUAUUUUGGGGCACAAGGAACAAUCACAUGUGAUUCUAGUUAAUUUUCCAAGCCUUGUUAUGAAUUUAGGGCACCAUUUAACUCACAUUUAGGAGUUUACGGCCUAAGAGCAUGAUCUAUGGCCGUAAACUCUUAUUAAGAGGAUGUUUGAUGUGUUUAUGGUCCCCAAACUAUUUUUAGAUGGCUCUAGGAUUUACCACAAGGCUAUUGGUUGAGUUUCAAGGCAUUUGGACAUGUUAAAAGGGGUUUACUCUCCAUUUUUGAGGGGUUUACGGCCUAAGCAUGAUCCUUGGCCGUAAACUCCUAUUUACUCCUCAAAAAUUAUGUUUAUGAUGUUCUAAGGCCAUUACCAAUAUUCUAAAUGUCAUAUCUAAGCCUUGUUUGAGUCUAGGAAGGGUUUAAGGGCUUAAAACCCUUUUAACUUAGUGUUUACGGCCUAGGCACCUUCCUGGGCCGUAAACUCAUUCAAAUCCCUCAAAAUCCAUGUCUAAAGUGUUCUAAGUCCAAUCCAUGAAGUCAUUUCGCCAUAUCUAAAAUCUAGUUGUGGUUUGGAAGGGUUUUGUUGCUCAAAAACCCCCUUUAAAUGAGUUUACGGCCUAGGAUAGUUCUAGGGCCGUAAACCCAUGAUAAUGGUCCUAAUCCAUGGUUUAAACUCGAAUUUGAAGGCUAGAGGGGUUGUAUAGCAAGUUAGGGAAGUUACCUCAAAGAUUUGAAGCCUUAAAUUGAUGAUUUGGA
RNAcentral lists this long non-coding RNA (6464 nucleotides) under Lactuca sativa (garden lettuce). RNAcentral describes it as "long non-coding RNA (LSAT_LNC002415)". The record is from RNAcentral. Lineage: Eukaryota; Viridiplantae; Streptophyta; Magnoliopsida; Asterales; Asteraceae.